RNAcentral lists this ribosomal RNA (180 nucleotides) under uncultured bacterium. RNAcentral describes it as "partial 16S ribosomal RNA". It matches the Rfam family "Bacterial small subunit ribosomal RNA", at positions 1313 to 1500 of the family's 1533-position model. The record is from RNAcentral.
CGACUCCGUGAAGCUGGAUUCGCUAGUAAUCGCGCAUCAGCCACGGCGCGGUGAAUACGUUCCCGGGCCUUGUACACACCACCCGUCAAGCCAUGGGAGCCGGGGGUACCUGAAGUGCGUAACCGCGAGGAGCGCCCUAGGGUAAAACUGGUGACUGGGGCUAAGUCGUAACAAGGUACC